RNAcentral lists this ribosomal RNA (445 nucleotides) under uncultured bacterium. Its description in RNAcentral is "bacterial SSU rRNA". It matches the Rfam family "Bacterial small subunit ribosomal RNA", at positions 354 to 796 of the family's 1533-position model. The record is from RNAcentral.
GUGAGGAAUAUUGGUCAAUGGUCGCAAGACUGAACCAGCCAUGCCGCGUGCAGGAAGACGGUCCUAUGGAUUGUAAACUGCUUUUAUACAGGAAGAAACCCUCCCACGUGUGGGAGCUUGACGGUACUGUAGGAAUAAGGAUCGGCUAACUCCGUGCCAGCAGCCGCGGUAAUACGGAGGAUCCAAGCGUUAUCCGGAAUCAUUGGGUUUAAAGGGUCCGUAGGCGGUCUUAUAAGUCAGUGGUGAAAGCCCAUCGCUCAACGAUGGAACUGCCAUUGAUACUGUAGGACUUGAAUGCUUAGGAAGUAACUAGAAGAUGUAGUGUAGCGGUGAAAUGCUUAGAUAUUACAUGGAAUACCAAUUGCGAAGGCAGGUUACUACUAAGUGAUUGACGCUGAUGGACGAAAGCGUGGGGAGCGAACAGGAUUAGAUACCCUGGUAGUCC